AUUGAACGCUGGCGGCAGGCCUAACACAUGCAAGUCGAACGAGUGGCGGACGGGUGAGUAAUGUCUGGGAAACUGCCCGAUGGAGGGGGAUAACUACUGGAAACGGUAGCUAAUACCGCAUACCAUCGGAUGUACCCAGAUGGGAUUAGCUAGUCGGUGGGGUAACGGCUCACCUAGGCGAGGAUCCCUAGCCGGUCGGAGAGGAGGACCAGCGCAACUGGAACUGGGACAUGGUCCAGACUCCUACGGGAGGCAGCAGUGGGGAAUAUUGCACAAUGGGCGCAAGCCUGAUGCAGCCAUGCCGCGUGUAUGAAGAAGGCCUUCGGGUUGUAAAGUACUUUCAGCGAGGAGGCGUUACUCGCAGAAGAAGCACCGGCUAACUCCGUGCCAGCAGCCGCGGUAAUUC
This 406-nucleotide ribosomal RNA is filed under the name uncultured bacterium. RNAcentral describes it as "partial 16S ribosomal RNA". It matches the Rfam family "Bacterial small subunit ribosomal RNA", at positions 30 to 526 of the family's 1533-position model. The record is from RNAcentral.